RNAcentral lists this long non-coding RNA (386 nucleotides) under Mustela putorius furo (domestic ferret). RNAcentral's name for it is "lncRNA (ENSMPUG00000024946.1)". The record is from RNAcentral. Lineage: Eukaryota; Metazoa; Chordata; Mammalia; Carnivora; Mustelidae.
CUCUCCCAGAAUUCAAGUCUACAUAAAACCUCAGAACGUGACCUGAUGGGACAGUAAGAUCUUUGCAAAUAUUAUUAGUUAAGAUGAGGUCAUAAUGGAGUAAGUUAGAGCCUGAAUGCAACAACUGAUGUCUAAGAAGACACACAAGACACACAGACACAGCAGAGGCAGAGACACAAAGAUGUGAAGAUGUAAGCAGAGAAUGGAGUGAUGCAUCCACAAACCAAGGAAUGCUAAGGAAUGCUGGGAGGCACCAAAAGAAACAAAAAGGCAAGGAAGAACUGUUUCCCAGAGCCCUCAGAGGGAAUAUAGCCCCGUUGAUGCUGAUUUCAAACCUCAAGGCUCCAAAACUCCUGCACAGCCUGAGGACAUUCAAACAGUCCUAG